AAUGAGUCUUUGCCAAAAAGACGUUUACGUUAUGCUCGUAGGCGUCGCCCAAGGAUGAGGCCGCGACCGAUCAGGUUGUUGGUGAGGUAAUGGCUCACCAAGCCUUUUACCGGUGCGGGCCGUGAGAGCGGGAGCCCGGAGAUGGGCACUGAGACAAGGGCCCAGGCCCUACGGGGCGCAGCAGUCGCGAAAACUUUGCAAUACACGAAAGUGUGACAGGGCUAUCCCGAGUGCCAUCCGCUGAGGAAGGCUUUUACCCAGUCUAGAACGCUGGGGGAAUAAGGAGAGGGCAAGUCUGGUGUCAGCCGCCGCGGUAAUACCAGCUCUCCGAGUGGUGUGGAUGUUUAUUGGGCCUAAAGCAUCCGUAGCUGGCUGAGUUAGUCCCUUGUUAAAUCCACCGAAUUAAUCGUUGGAUUGCGGGGGAUACUGCUCGGCUAGGGGACGAGAGAGGCAGACGGUAUUUCCGGGGUAGGGGUGAAAUCCUAUAAUCCCGGGAAGACCACCAGUGGCGAAGGCUGUCUGCUAGAACGCGCCCGACGGUGAGGGAUGAAAGCUGGGGGAGCGAACCGGAUUAGAUACCCGGGUGGUCCCAGCUGUAAACGAUGCAGGCUAGGUGUUUGGACGGCCACGUGCCGUUCUAGUGCCGCAGGGAAGCUGUUAAGCCUGCCGCCUGGAGAGUACGAUCGCAAGAUUGAAACUU
Molecule: ribosomal RNA, 700 nt
Filed under: uncultured archaeon
Lineage: Archaea
Description: bacterial SSU rRNA
Rfam family: Archaeal small subunit ribosomal RNA
Source: RNAcentral